Molecule: long non-coding RNA, 1626 nt
Organism: Homo sapiens (human)
Lineage: Eukaryota; Metazoa; Chordata; Mammalia; Primates; Hominidae
Exons: 2
Source: RefSeq, a predicted model, not a curated record
GUAAGAGGGCAAAAACCUGGUGCAGACUCUCAGGUCAGAUGGUGAGGGCUGAUUGCGGGAGGUGGACAAGAAGUCUGGCCUAAUGACUAAGGACAGCUAACGCCUAACUCCGUUCCUCAUCACUCCACCUGGGUAAGAGCAUUUGGUGCAACGAGCCAGUUUCGAGCCUGUGAAGGACCGUGGGGCAAGGUGACCGAUGCCGCUACCUCUUUGUCAUUCAGUAGCCCUCUUUACCUGUUUUGGCCUCGCUGCUAGGGCUGUCGCCGAGCUUACACGGACUCCAGGUGAUGAGUUUUUCUUGAGUCACUGCAAAGGCAGUUUCACUAGGCUUCACUUUUCUUUCUCGCGGUUUUCGGCCAGGUCUCUCCUGAGACACUCCUAUCUCCCGGUCCCGACACCAGCACCAAGCGCUCAGGUAAACGUCCCAAGUAAGACAAAGGCAAUCUACAUCAGGGCCUGCUAGCGGCGUGAAGGAGGGAGGGACUCAGAGCAUCAAAGUCAGUCCACAACGGGCGGGGUUCAGUUAAAUUGUGUCUCCAGCGAUCUAUUAGACCCGUCCUCUUCAAUAUGGCGCAUUGAACCCGGCUGACAAAAAAAAAAAAAAAAAAAAAAAAAAAAGGAGAGAGAGAAAGAGACCGCCCAGCCAGCUGCGCAGGCUCCCACCAUCCCCAGCGCCGCGACCUGCGACCCUCCAAGACCCCACCCCCGCCAAGCCCCGCCCCUAGGGCCUCCCCUGCUCUGAUUUACGUCUUCCUCUCUUUGCUAACGGUUGCUGUUUCUACUUUUCUUCCCCUUUUCUACUCUUUCUAUACCCAGAAGCAGCGGAACUGGCAACACCUUGGUGCCCUAGACGGAAACCUCAGUCCCGACUGAAGCGUAUUCAUCACCAACACUGGGAUAGCUGCAGCUAGGGCCACACAAUAAAAAUAGCCCAGGACGGCACUGGCUAUCCGCUGCCCCUUCAGCUAUAGAAUUCCUGUCCUUAAUCGCUUUUAGUUCUGUAACUGCUUGUGGAAACAGCUGAUUACUGGACAGGUGGGAGUACGAAAGGCGUUUAGUAAGACUGCAAAUCUGAUGUGAACUGGUAGGACGCAGAGUGUAUGGCAUAGUCAAGAAAGAAGUCAACGCCAGGCGAGGUGCUAUGGCUAAGGGAUUAAUCUUUUGUGUCCCAACUAUGUUGCUCUGACGGUUCCACUUGCACUACUGGUUUUUACUUCAUCGUUAAUCUCUGCUCUGGCCGAUAACAGCCUGCAUGAAAACAUCACCAGUUUUCAAGUUUUUCUCAGGAUGAACAGUACAUAGAAAAGUGAGCCUGAAUGCUGAGAUCCUGAGACCGUGCUGCGGCGCCUGGGAAUUCAUAGAGCAGCUUUUAAGGGGCCACCACUUCUCGCAUCGUGUGCCAUGCAAGUAAACCUACCCUAUCCUGAGACCCUUGCCUGGGGUGACUGGAAGAGCUGCUUCUGUAGAAUCCUGGGCCAGACCAUCUAUCUGGACGAAUAGGAGAAAAGCCUAGUUGUUGUCUCCUGCAAGAUGUAUUCAGUUGUAAUUUCGCCUUUGUUCCUUAAUCUGUUAGUAUGGUAUAUUACAUCGAUUAAUAUUUCAUAUUAAAUCAGUCAUGAAUUCCCA